Molecule: long non-coding RNA, 327 nt
Filed under: Elaeis guineensis (African oil palm)
Lineage: Eukaryota; Viridiplantae; Streptophyta; Magnoliopsida; Arecales; Arecaceae
Description: long non-coding RNA (EGUI_LNC052361)
Source: RNAcentral
AGUGAAAGAUCAUGGUAACCCUAAGUAGUUUUUUAUUUAUCAAAGAACAAUCUACUUCUAGGCCAUCACUUUUUAAUGGAACAAACUAUUCUUUUUGAAAAAUUAAAAUAAAAAUUUUAUACAAACUCUAGAUUAUGAUAUGUAGGCAGUCAUAACUAGAGGACUACACACCCACUAUUGAAGUAAAUGGAGUAUCUCAUCUCAAACUAGAAAAGGAUUGGAAUGAGAAUGAUAAAUGCAAAAGCCAUCAAUAUACUUUAUUGUUCCUUAAAUAUACAUAAAUUUAAUAGAAUAUCAACUUGCACAUUAGUUAAAGAGAUUUGGGAU